GGCCCGCGGAGGCUUUGGUCGGCGGCAGCGACAUUACCAUGCUCGCUGGAGCUUUAUGGUAUUUUUAGCCCUCCUGACAUUAGCAAGGUGCAAAAAAAAAGACAGCGCUGAUUUGGCACGUGUAUAAAAGGGGUCUGCGAACCGCUGGGAUUCGCCUGCCCUUUGCAAACGGUGGGGAGCCGCGGCGGCAUGGUGAGCAGGACUGCCAUGGUUUCUUUGCCCCCUUACCAACUGCAUGGAUGAAGACCAGCCAUGACGGAGGCAAGUCAUCCAAACCUCAGACUAUCAAGCAAAUGAACCAGUUUUCCCCCGUUACUUCAGGAAUGCCAACCACUAUGGAAAAACAACCCACCCAAAGCACAUGGAGACGGGUCCAUCGCAAGGACCACAGAGAAAACGUGAUGCCAACCCAUGCAGAUAGCAUCUUGCCUGGCCGGAGGGGAGCUCAGCCGUCAGACGUCUGUAACGGCAGCUUUCCCCUGGAACGCGCUUCUGAACAGAUCGGCCGCAAGACCCCAGAGGAACUCCUCCACCGAGUCACCRACGCAAAUGGGAAACACAAGGAAAGCGCGCUGAAAAAAGUCUCAACAAUGCAAAGAGUAAGAGAUGAGCCCAAGGAUUCACCCUCCAAGGAUGUUUUCCUGUUUUGGGCAAACAAAAUUAACAACAGCAGCAAAAAGGCUACUUUCCAAAAGCUACUGCAGAACUCAUCCGUGACUGUGGAAAGCCGUUCUCCAGUCCUUUUUUCCAAGGAAGGGCUUAGCAGCUUGAAAGAAAGGAAGCAGGCCAAAAAUGCUCAGAGAAAAACCAGAAGAGAUCUCUUUCCUGACUCAGAGGUUUUCAGUCACAUAGACACCCAUGUCCUACAUGUGAGCCAGCAGAUGAAAUCUGGGCAGGACAGGCUGUCCAUCCCGGCCAUCGUACGCCUGAUCACUGCCAAAUCCCAGAGCAAGCUGGAGACGACRCGGGCGAUAUGGUUCUGGCUCUGCCACAACAUCGAAUAUGACGUGGACGGCUUCCUAGGGCUGUCUCAGAAGAUSCACACGCCAGAGCAGGUCCUGCAAACUGGACGAGCCGUGUGYUCUGGUUAUGCCCA
This 1096-nucleotide long non-coding RNA is filed under the name Apteryx rowi (Okarito brown kiwi). Its description in RNAcentral is "lncRNA (ENSARWG00000018255.1)". Lineage: Eukaryota; Metazoa; Chordata; Aves; Apterygiformes; Apterygidae. The record is from RNAcentral.